UUGCAUAUCAAAUAAGCGGAGGAAAAGAAACCAACAGGGAUUGCCUCAGUAACGGCGAGUGAAGCGGCAAAAGCUCAAAUUUGGAAUCUCAGUCUUUCAGGCUGCGAGUUGUAAUUUGAAGACGUAUUUUGAAGUAAGCACAUGUCGAAGUUCCUUGGAACAGGACGUCACAGAGGGUGAGAAUCCCGUGCGAUGUGUUCACUGCUUCAUGUAAAAUGCAGUCGAAGAGUCGAGUUGUUUGGGAAUGCAGCUCUAAGUGGGUGGUAAAUUCCAUCUAAAGCUAAAUAUUGGCGAGAGACCGAUAGCGAACAAGUACAGUGAUGGAAAGAUGAAAAGAACUUUGAAAAGAGAGUGAAAAAGUACGUGAAAUUGUUGAAAGGGAAGGGCUUGAGAUCAGACUCGGGCAACCGGGCCAGCAUGGGGUGGGGGAGUAGGAUAACCCUGCAGGAAAGUGGCUUCGCUUCGGUGGAGUGUUAUAGCCUGUAGCUAUACUGCUACCCUCGCCCGAGGACUGCGGAAACAAGGAUGCCUGCCAUAUUACGGGGGAUU
RNAcentral lists this ribosomal RNA (549 nucleotides) under Hyphopichia burtonii. RNAcentral's name for it is "partial large subunit ribosomal RNA". It matches the Rfam family "Eukaryotic large subunit ribosomal RNA", at positions 36 to 571 of the family's 3401-position model. Lineage: Eukaryota; Fungi; Ascomycota; Pichiomycetes; Serinales; Debaryomycetaceae. The record is from RNAcentral.